AAUUUCUUCAAACCGAAGGUCUUUGUUAAUUUGAUUAGAAUUCUGUGCGAAGAAAUUUUU
RNAcentral lists this microRNA precursor (60 nucleotides) under Drosophila simulans. RNAcentral describes it as "microRNA dsi-mir-9680 precursor". The record is from miRBase by way of RNAcentral. Lineage: Eukaryota; Metazoa; Arthropoda; Insecta; Diptera; Drosophilidae.